CGCGGCAGUCGAUGCGACGUCUGUGGCUGCUGAUACAAUCUGGUUUGCAAUGCAUCAUGGAAAUUGUAGUUGAUUUACAUGUACAGUGUUAAAUCCGCUUUGCAAAAAGACUACUUUUCCCAGAAUGCACCCAGUGACACCAUCCCGCCUACCAGAGGAUCCGGAAGUUGCGUAGCAGCUAUUCAGCAACUCAACGCAGUCGCGGUGAAAUUCAAAUAACUAAGUUAGUUGUUCUAACUUCGACAAUCACGCUGUGUUUGUUUUAUCUUUUGAAGUUUUAAUACAUGAUCAAGGUAAGUUUAUAGUUUUUCACUAUCUUAACACGUGGAUUUUAAUCUAUAGCGCAUUACUAGAUACGAUUUUUGGGGGGUUUGUGUGGUUGGAUUUUAUUUGUUUUUAUGUUGGAGAGGAAAUAGAAUUGAUGUUUGAAUUCUGUUUUUCAUUGAAAAUUAACAUUAUAGUGAAGAACAUCGGAAGCUGCUUCUUGCUGAACAACAGCUGAUCUUUCUGAGGCCACCAAAACGGAAAAUGAAAUGAAACAGGCGACUAAUGGAUGAAAAUGACCCCGAUGAGGAGGCUACUGCAGCCAUGGCAAGUAGAGAAGUUCACAAGACCUCACAGAACAUCGCAGGCAACAGGAUUUAACUUUACAGUCUCACAGACAGGCAAUACAGUCACCAUGGCAUCAUGAAACACCCAGACCACAGAGAAAAAGCCUCUCAAGUGAUGACCGAUUAAUAAGAUUACGGUGGCUGAGAGGUCUCAACAUUCUGCAACAGAAGAAAAUUGAUGCAAACAGAAAAAAAACCCUGUAAAUAAGAACAUCUUUAUCACAUGUGCUAAACACAACCAAAUACAUAAAUGCUCUCCAAAUGUCCGACCAACAAAUAUCUACUCGACAAUGGUGUUCAUUGUUUUAUUUUUAUUAUUAUUUAUUGUUUGCAUUGUAUUUGCAGCAUGUGUGUUGUGAAACUGAUGUCUUGACUUGCUGAUGUUUUUCUUGUUUGCAUGUUUUCUUCUGUUGCAGGACUUUGAGAUCUCUCGGCCAACAUAUUUUUGUUAAUUUUUGUAUCUCAUUAUUUAAGAAUGCCACA
Molecule: non-coding RNA, 1094 nt
Organism: Pimephales promelas (fathead minnow)
Lineage: Eukaryota; Metazoa; Chordata; Actinopteri; Cypriniformes; Leuciscidae
Source: RefSeq, a predicted model, not a curated record